RNAcentral lists this ribosomal RNA (440 nucleotides) under uncultured bacterium. RNAcentral's name for it is "bacterial SSU rRNA". It matches the Rfam family "Bacterial small subunit ribosomal RNA", at positions 339 to 796 of the family's 1533-position model. The record is from RNAcentral.
CUACGGGAGGCAGCAGUGGGGAAUAUUGGACAAUGGGCGAAAGCCUGAUCCAGCCAUGCCGCGUGAGUGAUGAAGGCCUUAGGGUUGUAAAGCUCUUUCGGCGGGGACGAUAAUGACGGUAACCGGAGAAGAAGCCCCGGUCAACUUCGUGCCAGCAGCCGCGGUAAUACGAAGGGGGCUAGCGUUGUUCGGAAUUACUGGGCGUAAAGCGCACGUAGGCGGAUACUUAAGUCAGGGGUGAAAUCCCGGGGCUCAACCCCGGAACUGCCUUUGAUACUGGGUGUCUAGAGUCCGGAAGAGGUGAGUGGAAUUCCGAGUGUAGAGGUGAAAUUCGUAGAUAUUCGGAGGAACACCAGUGGCGAAGGCGGCUCACUGGUCCGGUACUGACGCUGAGGUGCGAAAGCGUGGGGAGCAAACAGGAUUAGAAACCCCUGUAGUCC